GCAAGUCGAGCGCACCUUCGGGUGAGCGGCGGACGGGUUAGUAACGCGUGGGAACGUGCCCUUCUCUACGGAAUAGCCAUUGGAAACGAUGAGUAAUACCGUAUACGCCCUUUGGGGGAAAGAUUUAUCGGAGAAGGAUCGGCCCGCGUUAGAUUAGGUAGUUGGUGGGGUAACGGCCUACCAAGCCUACGAUCUAUAGCUGGUUUGAGAGGAUGAUC
This 218-nucleotide ribosomal RNA is filed under the name uncultured bacterium. RNAcentral's name for it is "partial 16S ribosomal RNA". It matches the Rfam family "Bacterial small subunit ribosomal RNA", at positions 57 to 305 of the family's 1533-position model. The record is from RNAcentral.